UUAUUCCUAACAUUAAACCUAAAUUAAGAUCAGAUAUGUACAUUUUUGUUUCCAUGACAUUUUAUGAUAGUCCUGUAGACAAUUUAGACUUUGUGACUGGGUUUUCUAAUAACCAGAGAGGCUGGGGGGAGGUGUUUACUCCAAGUGCCUGUGCAAAUGUGAAAGUGAAACUUGUGUCGCAGUUUAGGCUUGAGGUGUAGAUUGUUCUGUAAAAACGUGUAGAUAUGCACAUAUAGUCACUAUUAGAGUGGUUAUGGAUUUAAAUCAACUAUUUUGAAUGUGAAGUGGAGGACGUGAAGACCAGUAAAGUUAAAAUGGCAGAGUCCAGAGUUCAUACUCAGUUUAAACUCACCUCAGAAGACUAUGUGGAGGCUGAUGUUGGUGAAGAGGUCACCCUCCCCUGUCACCUCUCACCUGACACCAGUGCUGUUACCACGACGAUCAGGUGGUUUAAAGGGACAGAGUGUAUUUACCUGUAUCAGAAUGGCCAGGUGACAGAGAGGAGUGGCUAUGAGGGCAGAGUGAGUCUGAUCACCCAGGAGCUGGAGAGAGGCAACGUGUCUCUGAGGCUGAGAGACUUCAGGAGGUCAGAUAGAGGAGUCUACAUAUGUCAGGUCAUCCAUGGAGAACAGAAGGAGGAGGCUGCAGUGGGUUUAUGGGAUAUAGGAGGAUUCUUAUUAGAAUUAGCUCAACAGAUAUGUGAUGUGAAGACUGAGGUAGAGAGACUGAGAAGAGAGAUCUCAGCCCAGAUGACUGAACAUGGAGAGACGUCAGAUACAGGUUCCAUACUCCCAGUCAGGAGGAGAGACAGCAAGGAGCUUCCUCCAUUCAUGGGAGGAGAGAGCAGCAGUCCAGACUCCCCAGUGUCUCCCAGUGUGUGAGCUGAGACUGGUGCUGCUGGGGAGGACUGGGGCUGGAAAUACAAACACCUUUGUCUGACAUAUCAAAAUGUAGUGUGGAGAGCGUUUUCCCAUUGGAAAGACGUCGCCCUGAUGUCCUUUGGGUGGUGGACCAGUCUUGAUACACACAGGAAACCCAGCAGCGUUGCAGUUCUUUACACAAGCCAGUGCUCCAUUCACCUGUUACCAUACCCUGUUCAAAGGCAUUUAUAUAUUUUAUCUUGCCCAUUCACCCUUUGAAUGGCACACAUACACAAUCCAUGUCUCAACAUCCUUAUUUAACCUGUCUCCUCCCCUUCAUCUACACUGAUUGAAGUGCAUUUAACAAGUGACAUGAAUAAGGGAUCAUAGCUUUCACCUGGAUUCACCUGGUCAGUCUAUGUCAUGGAAAGAUCAAGUGUCCUUAAUGUUUUGUACACACAGUGUAUGUCUACAGUGAAUUGAUGAGUAAUGCAUUCGAUUACUGUUCUGUUGCUGUUGAGACAACUGUUUUGUGUAGGGGUUAGAGGGGAGACCAGUUAGAGACAACUGUUUUGUGUAGGGGUUAGAGAGGAUACUAGUUAGAGAGACAACUGUUUUGUGUAGGGGUUAGAGAGGAUACUAGUUAGAGAGACAACUGUUUUGUGUAGGGGUUAGAGAGGAGACUAGUUAGAGACAACUGUUUUGUGUAGGGGUUAGAGAGGAGACUAGUUAGAGAGACAACUGUUUUGUGUAGGGGUUAGAGAGGAUACUAGUUAGAGAGACAACUGUUUUGUGUAGGGGUUAGAGAGGAGACUAGUUAGAGACAACUGUUUUGUGUAGGGGUUAGAGAGGAUACUAGUUAGAGACAACUGUUUUGUGUAGGGGUUAGAGAGGAGACUAGUUAGAGACAACUGUUUUGUGUAGGGGUUAGAGAGGAGACUAGUUAGAGAGACAACUGUUUUGUGUAGGGGUUAGAGAGGAUACUAGUUAGAGAGACAACUGUUUUGUGUAGGGGUUAGAGAGGAUACUAGUUAGAGAGACAACUGUUUUGUGUAGGGGUUAGAGAGGAGACUAGUUAGAGAGACAACUGUUUUGUGUAGGGGUUAGAGAGGAUACUAGUUAGAGACAACUGUUUUGUGUAGGGGUUAGAGAGGAUACUAGUUAGAGAGACAACUGUUUUGUGUAGGGGUUAGAGAGGAUACUAGUUAGAGAGACAACUGUUUUGUGUAGGGGUUAGAGAGGAUACUAGUUAGAGAGACAACUGUUUUGUGUAGGGGUUAGAGAGGAGACUAGUUAGAGAGAAUCCCACUGUAUUUUCCGCCACUGUGAGAGAAACAUAGGAGUGUUAUUAUUUUACUACAGUCACACUGUUGUUUUCUAUUUGCUGACCUUCAUCAAUCAAAGUUCAUCAGGAUACUGCUGUUGUUAUGAUGUUAUGUUUCAAGUUGAAACCUUAAACAUAUCUCUACAGUACUCACUAGUGGACAGACAGGCAACGCUCUGCUCAAGUAAGAUUUGGUUCAGGGUUCAGAGGUCACAGUGAAGGAUUGAUGAGUAAUACAUGUGUUUAUUAUAUCCAAACAGACACACAGAAAUAUAUAAGUAUUAUGUUGCUUGUUUUACUAUAUAGAAAGUGUUUUGUUACUUUGUAUCACACAUAGUAUAUGUUAUUUCAACAAUAUUGUAUUAAAUCAGUAUCACUAAAUACCAUAUCAGUGGUUAUGUUGUACAGUACUAAGCACACUUUGGAUUACAUUUUCUGUCCCCAAAAAAUACCUUGUUACUCACAAUAUAGCGUGAAUAAUGUUGUAACUGUUAAUUUACAAUGUAUGUAAGAUGUCCCCUUGUCACGUCCUGACCAGUAAGGGGUUAUUUGUUAUUGUAGUUUGGUCAGGGCGUGGCAGGGGGUGUUUGUUUGUGUGUUUCGGGGUUUUGAUGUAUGUUCUAUAUUUUCUAUUUCUGUGUUUAUUCUAGGUUUCUAUUUCUAUGUUGUGUUUUUUCAAUGACUUCCAAUUAGAGGCAGCUUGUGGUUGUUGUCUCUAAUUGGAGGCCAUAUUUAGUGUGUUCGUUUUCACUUGUGUUUGUGGGUGGUUGUUUCCGUUUUAGUCUGCGAACCUUACUGGACUGUUAUCGUCGUUAUUUUUGUUUAAGUUUGUUUGCCUUCAAUAAAUACUAAGAUGAGCAAUAUA
Molecule: non-coding RNA, 3049 nt
Organism: Salmo salar (Atlantic salmon)
Lineage: Eukaryota; Metazoa; Chordata; Actinopteri; Salmoniformes; Salmonidae
Source: RefSeq, a predicted model, not a curated record